GACGAACGCUGGCGGCGUGCUUAACACAUGCAAGUCGAACGAUGAAGCUAGAGCUUGCUCUGGUGAAUUAGUGGCGAACGGGUGAGUAACACGUGAGUAACCUGCCCCGAACUCUGGGAUAACUGCUGGAAACGGUAGCUAAUACUGGAUACGACCUACGAAGGCAUCUUCUGCAGGUGGAAAGAAUUUCGGUUCGGGAGGGACUCGAGGCCUAUCAGCUUGUUGGUGAGGUAAUGGCUCACCAAGGCGACGACGGGUAGCCGGCCUGGGAGGGUGAACGGCCACACUGGGACUGAGACACGGCCCAGACUCCUACGGGAGGCAGCAGGGGGAAAUAUUGCACAAUGGGCGCAAGCCUGAUGCAGCAACGCCGGGUGAGGGAUGACGGCCUUCGGGUUGUAAACCUCUUUUAGUAGGGAAGAAGCGAAAGUGACGGUACCUGCAGAAAAAGCACCGGCUAACUACGUGCCAGCCGCCGCCGUAA
Molecule: ribosomal RNA, 484 nt
Filed under: uncultured bacterium
Lineage: Bacteria
Description: partial 16S ribosomal RNA
Rfam family: Bacterial small subunit ribosomal RNA
Source: RNAcentral